GGGCAUUUUGGCUCGUCCCAAACUCCUGUGCAAAGGAAUUUCGCGCGGUUGCGUGGAGUGCGAAUUGUUGUUUUUUUCUCAACAAAGUUUGUAAAAAUGAUUUUAUAUCGAGACUUAAAAUGGAGAUAAACUUUUGAAAACCCCAUUUCAGUGGGUUUUCUUUACGAAAAGCAAUAGUUCUGAACAUAAUAUAUACAGAAAUCGUCGUUUAAAAAUACAUUUUCAACGUUGUUGUGGCUUACUUAUAAGCAUUAUUUAUUUAAUGGAUUUCUUAUAUCUUCAACGGGGUCUGGAAAGUAAACCAUGCCGUGAAAUAUGGGUAGGGAUAAAACGCUGAAACUGAAUCGCGGAAACGGAAACUGAAAGCGGAAACUGAAAUGGGGGUAAAACGCUGAAAUGGGGGUAAAGCGCUGAAAUGGGGAUAAAACGCUGAAAUGGGGGUAAAACGCUGAAAUGGUGAUAAAACGCUGAAAUGGGGAUAAAACGCUGAAAUUUAAUCGAAUUCGUUGUUUGCUAGACCAUUGCGAACGGCAAUUGCUAGAUAGUAUACUUCAAAAUAAGGUUUCCGUUUUUAUAUCAAUUUUUAAAAUAAGUUGGGGUUAGGUUAGGGUUUAGGUUAGGGUUAGGUUAGGGUUACUGGGUAAGGGUUAGUAUUAGAGUUAGUGUUUAGUUUUAUGUUAGGAUAGUUUUUUCUACGUUAUAUGACGUCAAUGCAACGGCCAGUUUAUGCACCUCGGUCAGCGUCAGCAACGCCACAAGGAUCCCAACAGGUCCCAUUACCUACCGCUGUCA
Paramuricea clavata is the source of this 792-nucleotide non-coding RNA. NCBI's taxonomy places the organism in Eukaryota, Metazoa, Cnidaria, Anthozoa, Malacalcyonacea, Plexauridae. The record is from the annotation of a GenBank genome assembly.